This 494-nucleotide long non-coding RNA is filed under the name Ananas comosus (pineapple). Its description in RNAcentral is "long non-coding RNA (ACOM_LNC025048)". Lineage: Eukaryota; Viridiplantae; Streptophyta; Magnoliopsida; Poales; Bromeliaceae. The record is from RNAcentral.
GUUUGAUCCCAUUUAUGCUUAUAUUUUUAGUUACAGUCAUUACUCAUUAGUAAUGGAGUGUUUGAUAUAGUUAAGGGUCCGUUUGUUGAAUGUAAAAUCAAAAAAUUAAUUUAGUGGACAAAAAAUGGUGAAAUUUUUUUAUUAUGUUUUGUAAUGUUAGGUUUGUAAGAAAAAAUAAUAAUUUUUCAUCAAUAUUUAUUUGAUUAAAAAAAUUACAUUCGUUCGGUUUAGUGAAAAAAAUAAGAAAAAAAUUUCACGUGGCAUGCGCUUUUGUUUUCCGUCGAAAAACAACGAAAAACGGAAACUUUACUUUUUUCCUCAUAUCUAUUAAAAUAUACUUUUACAAAAAAAAAUUAUGUGGAACCAAACAAAUAGUAGAAAAAUAUUUUUCAUACCGAAAAUAAUUCAUCGGUCCGUUUUCUGCCGAACUAAUUAAACACUCCCCAAAAGUUUAGAACUAGUAUAUAUAGCAAAAAACUAAAAUAUAAUUUUUU